UCAAAACUUGCUGGUGAUGGCUGGGC
This 26-nucleotide non-coding RNA is filed under the name Homo sapiens (human). Lineage: Eukaryota; Metazoa; Chordata; Mammalia; Primates; Hominidae. The record is from RNAcentral.